AUGAAAGAUGUUGAUGUUUCCCUUAAUGCCAUACUGUGCCUUGGCCUUCAGGUGACUGGGCUGCAGUGCAAUGAAAAAGAGUGUUUUGGUCCCUACUCAAAGCAUACCGAAUCGAGGCUUGUGCCUCGAUUCGGUGACGUUCAAAGCACGUCUAUCCUCAGAGAGAGUGGAAGCCUUUCAGGCUUGUCUGGCACUUUUUUGCAGGGGGACGAUGUUGAAGUUCAGAACGUGCCUCAGACUAUUGGGUCUGACGGCGUCGGCGCUGGUAGUAGUCCCACUUGGCCGCCUCCAUAUGAGGCCGGUUCAGCGAUGGGUUGCAUCACUCAAACUGAACCCGACGUGCACAUGCCAUGUCCAUCGCCGAGUUUUGAUCUCCAUGGCUUGCGUCUUGGCGCUGCGCCCUUGGGGACGCACGUCCUUUUUAACUACAGGCAUUACCAUGGGAACUAUCCUGGCAAGGAAGGUCCUUUAGACGGAUGCCUUUCGGGCGGGCUGGGGAGCCGUAUACGAGGGCAGAACAAUAAAUGGCAUGUGGAGUUCACAUAUGCAGUUUGUUCACAUAAACUGCCUGGAACUUCAAUCGGUGUCACUGGCGCUGAAACAUUUUCUUCCCUUUCUGAAAGGGCAACAUGUUCUAGUCAGGACGGACAACACCACGGUGGUGGCGUAUAUAAACCGUCAGGGGGAGUAAUGCACACGUUGGCACACAGACUGACCAUGUGGGGCAACACCCACCUGUUGUCGCUGAGAGCAACACACGUGCCAGGCGCGCGGAACUGGGGAGCAGAUUUAAUGUCCAGGGGCGACCCUCGUUAUGAGGACUGGAAACUCCACAUCGUGGUCGCGAACCAGAUAUGGGAGAGAUACGGUAGAGGGGACGUCGAUCUCUUUGCAUCAGAAGAGAACACUCAGUGCCCUCUGUUCUAUUCCCUAACCGGUAGGAGCGCCCCGAUGGGGCUGGAUGCUUUGGCAUACGAGUGGCCGCUCAUCCUCCUGUACGCUUUUCCCCAUUAG
This 1014-nucleotide long non-coding RNA is filed under the name Gadus morhua (Atlantic cod). RNAcentral describes it as "lncRNA (ENSGMOG00000032646.1)". The record is from RNAcentral. Lineage: Eukaryota; Metazoa; Chordata; Actinopteri; Gadiformes; Gadidae.